This 660-nucleotide long non-coding RNA is filed under the name Carica papaya (papaya). Its description in RNAcentral is "long non-coding RNA (CPAP_LNC012026)". Lineage: Eukaryota; Viridiplantae; Streptophyta; Magnoliopsida; Brassicales; Caricaceae. The record is from RNAcentral.
AACCUUAUAUUCAGAACACAAUCGAUGUUAAGGAGAAAAGUUUGAGGAGAGAUAGAAGGGUUUAGGAGAGAGAAACUCAAUUAUGGUUUCUUUAAGGGUGUCAAAGCUAGGGGUUGCAAUUUUGAAAACAUGAAAAGAGAGGUGUGUGAGAAAGAAUCAGUGACGUACAUUGAAGGAGAGGGUUAUAUGUUUCUGUGAUUUGUUUUUUUUUUCAUGUUUUAAUUUUUUUUUCCUUUACAAUCUUUUUAGCAUGGAAUUAAGUUGAAAGAAGUUUUUAAAAUUUGUUCGACAGGUGCAAUAUAGAAUUAUUCUUUUUAAAUUAUGUUUUAUUUUGCAAAAUCUGGUACUUCCAUGAGUAACAUGGAUGGACCUUUAACACAUGACCAUUUUUAAAUUUUUCAAAAAUGAGUGUCAGAGAGCAGCAAAGAAUGGUGGAUUUUUCUUAAGAUGUCAAGUCAAUGAAACUUAUGGGGAAACAAAAGUUAAGAAGGAAAAUAUUGUUAGCAAUAAUGGGAGUGUGAAUGAGAAGAACGUUAGCAAGUUCAUGAGCUUUGAUAGGUUCUUUGAACUAGUUAUGAGGUGGAGUAGUUUUGCUAAUAAUGAUAACAAUCAAUUUUAGGUAGUGAAAUAAUAGAAAGUAAAAUUUGGUACUGUUUUUAA